UACUCAGUGACCGAUAGCGUAUAGUACCGUGAGGGAAAGGUGAAAAGAACCCCGGGAGGGGAGUGAAAGAGAACUGAAACCCUGUGUUGACAAGCUGCGGAAGUACGAUUGAACGUAUAACCCGCGUACUUUUUGUAGAACGGUCCGGCGAGCUGCUGCAACGGGCAAGGUUAAGGACUUCAGGUCCGGAGCCGGAGGGAAACCAAGUGUAAAUAGUGCCAUAGUCAGUUGCAGUAGGCCCGAAACCGGGUGACCUAUCCAUGGCCAGAUUGAAGUCACCGUAAAAGGUGAUGGAGGAUCGAAGCCACAUCCGUUGAAAAGGGUGGGCAUGAGCUGUGGAUAGGGGAGAAAUUCCAAUCGAACCCGGAGAUAGCUGGUUCUCCCCGAAAUAGCUUUAGGGCUAGCCUUGAUUUGUUACCAUACGGAGGUAGAGCACUGAAUAUCCGAGGGGGCGUCGCAGCUUACCAAAGAUUAUCAAACUCCGAAUGCCGUAAUGGGUGAAUCAAGAGUCAGACUGUGAGAGAUAAGUUUCAUGGUCAAAAGGGAAAGAGCCCAGACCUACAGCUAAGGUCCCCAAGUACGUGUUAAGUGGAAAAGGAUGUGUGAUUUCAAAGACAACUAGGAUGUUGGCUCAGAAGCAGCCAUUCAUUCAAAGAGUGCGUAAUAGCUCACUAGUCGAGAGGCCACGCGCCGAAAAUUACCGGGGCUAAAACACGACACCGAAGCUUAGGAAUUGACUUAGGUCAAUUGGUAGGGGAGCAUUGCCAGAGCGUAGAAGCCAUACCGUAAGGAGUGGUGGAGUUCUGGGAAGAGAGAAUGCCGGAAUGAGUAGCGAGAACAAGGUGAGAAUCCUUGUGGCCGAAUAUCCAAGGGAUCCAGGGUAAAGCUGAUCUGCCCUGGGGAAGUCGGGGCCUAAGGUGAGGCAGAAAUGCGUAGCCGAUGGACAACAGGUGUAUAUUCCUGUACCGAUUUACAACAGAACUGUGGGGACACGGCGGGGAAGAAGAAGCCAGCGCAUGGUAUGCUGGUGCAAGCGAAGGAGCAGGUGCUCAGGCAAAUCCGGGCACUAAUGCAAGGUCGUGAUGCGGACCGAAAUAUAAGUAGGGAAGUCUUCUGUAGACGCUGUCGAGAAAAGCCGCUAUUGUUUGUAAAUUGCCCGUACCGUAAACCGACACAGGUGGAUGAGGAGAGAAUCCUAAGGCCGACGGAAGAAGCAUUGCUAAGGAACUCGGCAAAAUGUCCCCGUAACUUCGGAAGAAGGGGAGCCUACGCAAGUAGGCCGCAGAGAAAAGGCUCAAGCAACUGUUUAGCAAAAACACAGGUCUAUGCGAAACCGUAAGGUGAAGUAUAUGGGCUGACGCCUGCCCGGUGCUGGAAGGUUAAGAGGAGAGGUUAGCGCAAGCGAAGCUUUGAAUUUAAGCCCCAGUAAACGGCGGCCGUAACUAUAACGGUCCUAAGGUAGCGAAAUUCCUUGUCGGGUAAGUUCCGACCCGCACGAAAGGCGUAAUGAUUUGAGCACUGUCUCGGCAAUGCAUCCGGUGAAAUUGAAGUACCAGUGAAGAUGCUGGUUACCCGCGCCAGGACGGAAAGACCCCAUGGAGCUUUACUCCAGUUUGAUACUGGGAUUCGGUAGCAUAUGCACAGGAUAGGUGGGAGACUAAGAUGCAAUGGUUUCGGCUGUUGCGGGAGUCACUGUUGGG
This 1700-nucleotide ribosomal RNA is filed under the name wallaby gut metagenome. RNAcentral's name for it is "bacterial LSU rRNA". It matches the Rfam family "Bacterial large subunit ribosomal RNA", at positions 474 to 2196 of the family's 2925-position model. The record is from RNAcentral.